GCAAGUCGAACGAGUUCUCGUUGAUGAUCGGUGCUUGCACCGAGAUUCAACAUGGAACGAGUGGCGGACGGGUGAGUAACACGUGGGUAACCUGCCCUUAAGUGGGGGAUAACAUUUGGAAACAGAUGCUAAUACCGCAUAGAUCCAAGAACCGCAUGGUUCUUGGCUGAAAGAUGGCGUAAGCUAUCGCUUUUGGAUGGACCCGCGGCGUAUUAGCUAGUUGGUGAGGUAAUGGCUCACCAAGGCGAUGAUACGUAGCCGAACUGAGAGGUUGAUCGGCCACAUUGGGACUGAGACACGGCCCAAACUCCUACGGGAGGCAGCAGUAGGGAAUCUUCCACAAUGGACGCAAGUCUGAUGGAGCAACGCCGCGUGAGUGAAGAAGGCUUUCGGGUCGUAAAACUCUGUUGUUGGAGAAGAAUGGUCGGCAGAGUAACUGUUGUCGGCGUGACGGUAUCCAACCAGAAAGCCACGGCUAACUACGUGCCAGCAGCCGCGGUAAUACGUAGGUGGCAAGCGUUAUCCGGAUUUAUUGGGCGUAAAGCGAGCGCAGGCGGUUUUUUAAGUCUGAUGUGAAAGCCCUCGGCUUAACCGAGGAAGCGCAUCGGAAACUGGGAAACUUGAGUGCAGAAGAGGACAGUGGAACUCCAUGUGUAGCGGUGAAAUGCGUAGAUAU
RNAcentral lists this ribosomal RNA (676 nucleotides) under Lactobacillus sp. r1w3. RNAcentral describes it as "bacterial SSU rRNA". It matches the Rfam family "Bacterial small subunit ribosomal RNA", at positions 57 to 697 of the family's 1533-position model. The record is from RNAcentral. Lineage: Bacteria; Bacillati; Bacillota; Bacilli; Lactobacillales; Lactobacillaceae.